This 527-nucleotide ribosomal RNA is filed under the name Botryosphaeria dothidea. RNAcentral's name for it is "eukaryotic LSU rRNA". The stretch from base 155 to 308 matches the Rfam family "5.8S ribosomal RNA". The record is from RNAcentral. Lineage: Eukaryota; Fungi; Ascomycota; Dothideomycetes; Botryosphaeriales; Botryosphaeriaceae.
CCUGCCCACCCUUUGUGUACCUACCUCUGUUGCUUUGGCGGGCCGCGGUCCUCCGCGGCCGCCCCCCUCCCCGGGGGGGUGGCCAGCGCCCGCCAGAGGACCAUCAAACUCCAGUCAGUAAACGAUGCAGUCUGAAAAACAUUUAAUAAACUAAAACUUUCAACAACGGAUCUCUUGGUUCUGGCAUCGAUGAAGAACGCAGCGAAAUGCGAUAAGUAAUGUGAAUUGCAGAAUUCAGUGAAUCAUCGAAUCUUUGAACGCACAUUGCGCCCUUUGGUAUUCCGAAGGGCAUGCCUGUUCGAGCGUCAUUACAACCCUCAAGCUCUGCUUGGUAUUGGGCACCGUCCUUUGCGGGCGCGCCUCAAAGACCUCGGCGGUGGCGUCUUGCCUCAAGCGUAGUAGAACAUACAUCUCGCUUCGGAGCGCAGGGCGUCGCCCGCCGGACGAACCUUCUGAACUUUUCUCAAGGUUGACCUCGGAUCAGGUAGGGAUACCCGCUGAACUUAAGCAUAUCAAUAAGCGGAGGA